This 65-nucleotide transfer RNA is filed under the name Batophila aerata. RNAcentral's name for it is "tRNA-Trp". The record is from RNAcentral. Lineage: Eukaryota; Metazoa; Arthropoda; Insecta; Coleoptera; Chrysomelidae.
AAGGAUUUAAGUUAAAAAAAACUACUAACCUUCAAAGUUGAUAAUAGAAAAAAUUCUAAGCCUUA